Non-coding RNA from Chlorocebus sabaeus (green monkey), 717 nucleotides. The record is from RefSeq and is a predicted model, not a curated record. Lineage: Eukaryota; Metazoa; Chordata; Mammalia; Primates; Cercopithecidae.
CGGAAUAGCUCCUGCUUGAUUUUCCUCCUGGGAAAACAGCCCCUCACCUCUGCCUUCAGUCCCUGGGCACAGAACAUCAAUGAACAUGCUUCUAGAACUUUCAUCUAUUAUGAAAAAAUAAUGCAUCAGGAGCAGCUGGUACCUGCAGGAGGAGAGUUGUGCCUUUGUCAGCUCAAACUGCAGGAAGCGCUUUGGGACCCAUGCCCUCUGCAGACACCCACCAGGCGAAGGGUCCUAUUCAGGGUGCUCCCAGCCUGGGCUCACUUCCACAGGAGACCCUUCCCUUAUGGGGGCUGGGGACAGAUUCUCACCCUGCCUGGGCACACUGCUUGAAGGAGGUCUGAUGCUCGGGCAGGGAGGAACUGUACACCGUCAGAGGAGAUCUAGGGACAAGAGCGGCUCUGCUUGAGGAGGAGGAUUGGUAUAUGUCUCCUCUUCCCCAGUCCCAGCACAGCCUGCUGGGAUAUUUUGCAAGAGAGUUCCCCAGCUCUGUAGUGGCAGUAACAGUAGCAGUUGGCCCCUUAAACGUGGGUCCAGAGCAGGCCUGGAGCUUUGUGCUCAGCCUGAGGUCAGAUGUGCUUCCUGUCUAUAAAGAAGAGGUUGACAAGAAACUUUUGAGGCUUUUCCUCUCACCAGUUCAUUUCUUGGGGAUGAAUCAGUUGGAUUUUUAAUUCACCGAUGGCAUGGAAAUAAAAUAUGGAUUAAAACACUGGCAAA